CCGGAGACCUCUCCCUGCCUGGUCAGCACAGAGAAAAAGGCCAAGUAAGAACAUAGUAAGGAAGUGACUUUUGCCAACUCAAAGAGAAAAGCUUUACCGGGACUCUAGUAUUGAUGGAGUACUGGUGGCUCCAAAUCAAGUCCUUGCUGUAAUACUAAGAGAGAGAGGAGGUAGAGGCAGAAUGGAGCCCCCUCCAGUCCUGAAGGAGCUCUGGGCUAGCACUGGAUUUGCAUAAGCCUCAGAUGUGAAAGCUGGAGAGGGCAGUUCACCCUGCAUCGUUCGCCAGCGUUGCCGCAGCUCCUAGAAGAGACCCUACCGCACGCUGGGCGCUAGAUGUCUUCCUGAAAUUAGAUUCAUAUACAAGGAAACACAGAGACUUAUAUAGCCACCAGAUGGAGAAAGGGAGAGAAAGAAUUUUUUUUCCCUUCAUCUUAAUCACAGAGUAAGGAUGAAGAUCCAUCCAUGUUUGCAACAGGUACCAUAUCUGAAAUUCUGAGGUUGAAUUUAUUCACAGCAAAUGAAAAUGGAUCAUCUCUCCACAUAAUGAUUUCCCAAAUGGUUUGCAUUGCAAAGAAAUUCCACAAAGAAGGAUUACAUGGCUUUGUAGAUAACACUACCGCAGAAUAGGAACAAAUUAUCUCAUAGAUUUAUGCAGAACUCCCACUGCUGGCCAUGACAAAGUCACAGAUUCUGCAUUUGCCUUCCAAAAAGCGUCCUCACCCCUAACCAAAGACUGUGAGUCCGCUCUGAUAGAAUGUGAUGGCUCUGGGUGAGGAAUGAAACCUCAAAUCAAGAAAUGCCAUUUAAGAUGAUUCUGUUCUCCCUCUGCCCGACAUAAACUCAGGUGAUACUUCAGGCUCUCUCUGGAGUUUUACGCUGACCUUGGAUCACCACACGCAAUUAGUGUGAUGAAGGAUAAUGAUAUUGGAGGAUCCGAUACCCUUCUCAGCGAAACCUGGCUCUCUUCUCUACAUGUUCAUUGCAAAAGGAGAGGCCUCUUGUUCAUGAGUAAAAGUGUGAAAGGAAACACUCACGGGCUUUAGAGCCAGACUGCCUGGGCUCAUCUGAGGCUUGACUUUGGGCAAGGACCUUCACCCUCUGUGCCUCAGUUUCCAGUCUAUAAAUGGGGCGAUAGGACAUCCUUCCUAUGUUCAUUGUUACAAAGACGAAAUGAGCUAACCUACCGAAGGGCUCAUUCAGGGCCUGGUACUAAGUGUUCAACAUAAACUAUUCUUACCAUUGUCAUUGUUGUUCCUGUCCUGACAGAAUUGUGUGUCCUUAGAUCUUUUAAGCUUUGAUCGCUUCGUUUCUGUAAUGGGAAAAGUACACCUCCUUUGAAACAAUUAUUUUGGACAAUAAGAUCUCACCGGCUGUAGAACAAAUAAUCAUGUGUGAACAAACAGCACCAUAACGCUUUUACUCAGCAUGCCACAAAUGGUUGGAGAGACUUGGAUACUCCCCGGGAAAGAGAGCAACCCCCAUGUAUACUCAUCCUGCCAUAGGAAGA
Long non-coding RNA from Neofelis nebulosa (Clouded leopard), 1507 nucleotides. RefSeq lists it as uncharacterized. The transcript is spliced from 7 exons. The record is from RefSeq and is a predicted model, not a curated record. NCBI's taxonomy places the organism in Eukaryota, Metazoa, Chordata, Mammalia, Carnivora, Felidae.